This 253-nucleotide ribosomal RNA is filed under the name uncultured bacterium. Its description in RNAcentral is "partial 16S ribosomal RNA". It matches the Rfam family "Bacterial small subunit ribosomal RNA", at positions 524 to 776 of the family's 1533-position model. The record is from RNAcentral.
UACAGAGGUCCCGAGCGUUGUUCGGAUUCACUGGGCGUAAAGGGUGCGUAGGUGGUGAGGUAAGUUGGAUGUGAAAUCCCCGGGCUCAACCUGGGAACUGCAUUCAAAACUGACAAGCUAGAGUAUGGUAGAGGGUGGUGGAAUUUCCUGUGUAGCGGUGAAAUGCGUAGAUAUAGGAAGGAACACCAGUGGCGAAGGCGACCACCUGGACUGAUACUGACACUGAGGUGCGAAAGCGUGGGGAGCAAACAGG